GUGGGGAAUCUUGCGCAAUGGGCGAAAGCCUGACGCAGCCAUGCCGCGUGAAUGAUGAAGGUCUUAGGAUUGUAAAAUUCUUUCACCGGGGACGAUAAUGACGGUACCCGGAGAAGAAGCCCCGGCUAACUUCGUGCCAGCAGCCGCGUUAAUACGAAGGGGGCUAGCGUUGCUCGGAAUUCCUGGGCGUAAAGGGCGCGUAGGCGGACAGUUUAGUCAGAGGUGAAAGCCCAGGGCUCAACCUUGGAAUUGCCUUUGAUACUGGCUGUCUUGAGUACGGGAGAGGUGAGUUGAACUCCGAGUGUAGAGGUGAAAUUCGUAGAUAUUCGGAAGAACACCAGUGGCGAAGGCGACUCACUGGCCCGUUACUGACGCUGAGGCGCGAAAGCGUGGGGAGCAAACAGGAUUAGAUACCCGAGUAGUCC
This 425-nucleotide ribosomal RNA is filed under the name uncultured bacterium. RNAcentral's name for it is "partial 16S ribosomal RNA". It matches the Rfam family "Bacterial small subunit ribosomal RNA", at positions 354 to 796 of the family's 1533-position model. The record is from RNAcentral.